Molecule: long non-coding RNA, 230 nt
Filed under: Malus domestica (apple)
Lineage: Eukaryota; Viridiplantae; Streptophyta; Magnoliopsida; Rosales; Rosaceae
Description: long non-coding RNA (MDOM_LNC019516)
Source: RNAcentral
UAGAAAUUCAGGUACGACGAGUGGUUGUUCAUCAUUUGUCUGUCAACACGUCAGACCUGUUGUGAGCUUCAAAAACUCCAUUUUCUCUUGCUCAGAUCAACAUACUUGCUUCAUCGAAGUUGUUCCUUAACUUGUGAACUACAAACAUAUCCAAAUUUGAGAUCCCUCGGAGCAGUAUAACUCCAGAAAUCCAGGUAUGAUGAAUGACUGGUUAUUAUUUUUUGUCAACC